GGUGAAUGCUGGCGGCGUGGAUAAGGCAUGCAAGUCGAACGGUAGAGGGGGCAACCCCUCGAGAGUGGCGAACGGGUGAGUAAUAUAUCGGAACGUGCCCAGUCGUGGGGGAUAACGUAGAGAAAGUUACGCUAAUACCGCAUACGAUCUAAGGAUGAAAGCGGGGGAUCGCAAGACCUCGCGCGAUUGGAGCGGCCGAUAUCAGAUUAUGUAGUUGGUGGGGUAAAGGCUCACCAAGCCAACGAUCUGUAGCUGGUCUGAGAGGACGACCAGCCACACUGGAACUGAGACACGGUCCAGACUCCGACGGGAGGCAGCAGUGGGGAAUUUUGGACAAUGGACGCAAGUCUGAUCCAGCCAUUCCGCGUGCAGGAUGAAGGCCCUCGGGUUGUAAACUGCUUUUGUACGGAACGAAAAGGUCUCUCUUAAUACGGGGGACUCAUGACGGUACCGUAAGAAUAAGCACCGGCUAACUACGUGCCAGCCGCCGCGGUAA
RNAcentral lists this ribosomal RNA (496 nucleotides) under uncultured bacterium. RNAcentral describes it as "partial 16S ribosomal RNA". It matches the Rfam family "Bacterial small subunit ribosomal RNA", at positions 28 to 523 of the family's 1533-position model. The record is from RNAcentral.